GGAAAGAGAAGUCUGACGUCUGCCAAGUUCUAGGGCCAAGCAAACGAUAUGCAUUCCAGGAUGGUGACUGAAGCUCAUCUUUGUAAACACCUAAAUGCCUAGAAUGAACUUCAAAACAGAUUCUGAAAGUUUUACCUGUAUUAAUCUUAAAUAUGGACAAAAAGUAUACACUUGGAACACACAUAAAAACAGAUGGGUCCAUGCCAAGCUAAAGAUUAAUGCAGAAGAUAAAAGAGAACUGGAGAAGAAUGAAUUGAUGUUAACAUACUCAACAUUAAAUUUGGCUUAAAUCUAAA
This is a long non-coding RNA of Saccostrea cuccullata (small rock oyster), 296 nucleotides long. RefSeq lists it as uncharacterized. The record is from RefSeq and is a predicted model, not a curated record. The transcript has 4 exons. Lineage: Eukaryota; Metazoa; Mollusca; Bivalvia; Ostreida; Ostreidae.